Capsella rubella is the source of this 233-nucleotide long non-coding RNA. RefSeq lists it as uncharacterized. The record is from RefSeq and is a predicted model, not a curated record. Lineage: Eukaryota; Viridiplantae; Streptophyta; Magnoliopsida; Brassicales; Brassicaceae. The transcript has 3 exons.
AGAAGAAAAGGCACCCAAUUGUUCAUCCCUUUGAAAAAGUUAAUACAACACGGGUAGAACUAUUGGCUAAAUGGAAGAGUUCAAGGAAAACAAAGCCUCUAACAAUUCUAGGUAACAAAGUUGAUGCCAAGUGGUUCACAACACUUGAGACGCCAGGAAAAUCAAUAACAGCAGCUCAUAUUGAUCCAGCGGUCCAGCUAUAUAAGCAAAGAAAAGAAAGUCAUCCUGAUAUU